RNAcentral lists this ribosomal RNA (475 nucleotides) under uncultured bacterium. RNAcentral's name for it is "SSU rRNA". It matches the Rfam family "Bacterial small subunit ribosomal RNA", at positions 26 to 518 of the family's 1533-position model. The record is from RNAcentral.
AGGACGAACGCUGGCGGCGUGCCUAACACAUGCAAGUGGAGCGACGAACCAGGCUUCGGCCUGGGGCAAAGCCGCGAACGGGUGAGUAACACGUGGGUAACCUGCCCCGAUGAUUGGGACAACCCGAGGAAACUCGGGCUAAUACCGAAUGUGCCCUACGGCCAUAAGGCCGCUGGGGAAAGGAAGCUUCGGCCUCCGCAUCGGGAUGGGCCCGCGGCCCAUUAGCUUGUUGGUGAGGUAACGGCUCACCAAGGCGACGAUGGGUAGCUGGUCUGAGAGGACGAUCAGCCACACUGGGACUGAGACACGGCCCAGACUCCUACGGGAGGCAGCAGUGGGGAAUAUUGGACAAUGGGCGCAAGCCUGAUCCAGCAAUGCCGCGUGAGUGAUGAAGGCCUUCGGGUUGUAAAGCUCUUUCGCACGCGACGAUGAUGACGGUAGCGUGAGAGAGCCCGCUACUCGUGCCAGCAGCCGC